Long non-coding RNA from Stegastes partitus (bicolor damselfish), 382 nucleotides. RefSeq lists it as uncharacterized. NCBI's taxonomy places the organism in Eukaryota, Metazoa, Chordata, Actinopteri, Pomacentridae. The transcript is spliced from 3 exons. The record is from RefSeq and is a predicted model, not a curated record.
GCAGCUUACAUCCAUGGCCCAUCUAAGAAGAACCCAUUGUUUUGUCUGGCUCGUGACUAUGGCCUCCUGGAUCCACAAGCCCUCAAACCAGAGAACCAGGCCAAGCAUUUUUAUGAAUAUCCCCUCCCGGUUUCCAACUGGUUCAGUAGUUCAGGUCAAAAGCUGAGUGCUGAAUGCAUGAAUGAUGCACUGGAGAUGUUUUAUGAGCUUUUGGCAGAAUCCUAUUCUCAUAAGAAUGACAAAGCAGGUGCCAGUUUUGGACAUUUCAUACGAUCACAGGCACAGAAAAAGACUGCAAAGAAGUGGAAAAAAAAGGAUGAAACCACGCGUCAGCUGCUGCUGUCUGCCAUCAGCACCAUGUUAAAGUUUGAGUGUUGUGCAA